CAGUAGCCGCGGUAAUACAGAGGGUGCGAGCGUUAAUCGGAUUUACUGGGCGUAAAGCGUGCGUAGGCGGCUUUUUAAGUCGGAUGUGAAAUCCCUGAGCUUAACUUAGGAGUUGCAUUCGAUACUGGGAAGCUAGAGUAUGGGAGAGGAUGGUAGAAUUCCAGGUGUAGCGGUGAAAUGCGUAGAGAUCUGGAGGAAUACCGAUGGCGAAGGCAGCCAUCUGGCCUAAUACUGACGCUGAGGUACGAAAGCAUGGGGAGCAAACAGGAUUAGAUACCCCAGUAGUCCCUGUCUCUUAUAC
RNAcentral lists this ribosomal RNA (301 nucleotides) under uncultured bacterium. Its description in RNAcentral is "partial 16S ribosomal RNA". It matches the Rfam family "Bacterial small subunit ribosomal RNA", at positions 509 to 807 of the family's 1533-position model. The record is from RNAcentral.